Molecule: ribosomal RNA, 249 nt
Filed under: uncultured bacterium
Lineage: Bacteria
Description: partial 16S ribosomal RNA
Rfam family: Bacterial small subunit ribosomal RNA
Source: RNAcentral
CACGCCGUAAACGAUGGAUGCUCGGUGUCGGGGGUAUCGACCCCCUCGGCGCCUUAGGUAACCCGGUAAGCAUCCCGCCUGGGGAGUACGGCCGCAAGGUUGAAACUCAAAGGAAUUGACGGGGGCCCGCACAAGCGGUGGAGCAUGUUGUUUAAUACGUCACUAACCGUAGAACCUUACCAGGGCUUGACAUCUACCGAACCUUGCGGAAACGCAGGGGUGCCCUUCGGGGAGCGGUAAGACAGGUGU